UACGGAGGGUGCAAGCGUUAUCCGGAUUCACUGGGUUUAAAGGGUGCGUAGGUGGGUCUGUAAGUCAGUGGUGAAAUCUCCGGGCUUAACCCGGAAAUUGCCAUUGAUACUAUAGGUCUUGAAUCAUCUGGAGGUAAGCGGAAUAUGUCAUGUAGCGGUGAAAUGCUUAGAUAUGACAUAGAACACCAAUUGCGAAGGCAGCUUACUACGGAUGUAUUGACACUGAGGCACGAAAGCGUGGGGAUCAAACAGG
This 253-nucleotide ribosomal RNA is filed under the name uncultured bacterium. RNAcentral's name for it is "partial 16S ribosomal RNA". It matches the Rfam family "Bacterial small subunit ribosomal RNA", at positions 524 to 776 of the family's 1533-position model. The record is from RNAcentral.